This 67-nucleotide transfer RNA is filed under the name Boettcheria bisetosa. RNAcentral describes it as "tRNA-Ile". Lineage: Eukaryota; Metazoa; Arthropoda; Insecta; Diptera; Sarcophagidae. The record is from RNAcentral.
AAUGAAUUGCCUGAAAAAAAAGGAUUACCUUGAUAGGGUAAAUCAUGUAAUUAUAUUACAUUCAUUA